Molecule: long non-coding RNA, 2649 nt
Organism: Lycium barbarum (goji berry)
Lineage: Eukaryota; Viridiplantae; Streptophyta; Magnoliopsida; Solanales; Solanaceae
Exons: 2
Source: RefSeq, a predicted model, not a curated record
CGAUACACAAAAGCGGAUUCAUGACUUGAAUUUUAUAUGUUUUAGUUCCAAAUUCUACCAUAACUCAAAUAAUUUACUGCCACUACUAAAAAAACUGCAUUUCUCCACCAAAACAUUUUGACCUCACUUUUUGGUCAAAAAAAAAAAAAACGAUCGUACGUGGUCAAAAUUAAUUUUUGUUCAACUAAUAAAUGGAAAAAAAUCAUUUUAUACAAAAUUAAAUUAUAUAAAUAAAAACUAAAUCAAAUCUAACUUAAUUAUUUCGACUGCAUGCGAUUGAAAAUAAUAAAAUAGAAAAAACCUAUCAGAUCUUGAAAACCCCAUUUGCAUCCUGUGUCCAAACUUUCCCCUCUCUAAAUAAACUAUCUUCCCCAAAAUUCCCACCACCCCACCACGACAUCUCCGGCCACCAACUACCAACGAUGUUCCCCGAGUAGGUGACGCCGCCCAGUUAAACCAUCGGAGCAGCCACCUCCGCCGCUGCUGCCGACAGAACAGUGAGGUUAGUCUUAUUUUUUCUUUUUCUUUUUUUAAUUUUCAAUCUCAUUUUAUCAUUAUUAGUUGCAUUACUUUGUAUAGGUGUAGUUUAAUUAGUAGAUUUGUUAACUUUAUCGAUUGUUCAAUGUUUGUUUUAGGGUUUACAAUGUUAACUUUAUUUUAGGGUUUUGAUCACCAAAAAAAAAAACAGCUCUGUUUUGUAUUCUCCAGUAAAUCCGUCUGUAACAAAAUUGAAUUAUUGAAUUUCAUAGGAUAGUUAUGGUAGAUCAAAGUGUUAUUAGCAUGGACUUUAAAAUGCAUACAACUAAUGCCUUAGUCAUAAAUUAGUAUGAAGACAAAAAUAUAUUACGUACUACUUUCACUAGCAAGUAACAGAUGAAGUAUCUCAAGACUGUAUGCUAUGAUAAAGUUCCAAUCUUUAAACUUCUUCUAUUUGUUUUUUUUUUUUUAUAAAUUUUAUGAUGAGAAAUACUACAAGUAUACUCACACAUAAGUGCUAGUUACAUUCAUUGGUAGCACUUAGUCGGAUUCCUUAUUUCGGAGGCAACUUGUAAAAUGUAGGUUCAAUUGCGUCAACUUUUUAAGAAUAGAAUGAAGUAUAUAAUUAAGGUAAUCAGUUUCUCUGUAUAAUCAUUUAAAUGCUGAUUGUCUUGGGACUUGGGACUAAGAAAGAAUUUUCCUCCUGGGCAUCAAUUUAGAACAGAUGUAUGUUUUGGUUAUUUUAAGGUGCUAUAGGGAUUCCUGGGCAUCAAUGAUAAUGGGGUUGAAGGGUGCUAUAGGGAUUCCAAUCUGAGCUUGCCGCUAGUCGUGAGGUAUUGAUGACUUGUUGUUGAUAUAUUGUGCCUUGUUGUUGAUGUUGUACUUGUUGUGUUUUACUGGAGUUGUUGUUGAUAUGUGGAGUUGUCUAUAAGGGAUUCAAAUCAACCUAUUUGCAUAUGAUUCAAAUCAAGUCAGUCAAUUGACAUCUUUUACUCUCUGUUUUUGUACACUCUUUCUUUUCACUAAUAUAUUGUGAGUAGGAGUUCUUAUACUCACGGUAAUGUUAGUCGGAUUGAAAUUCACGUUGGAGAAUUUGAAUAAUUCUUAGCUUAUGAAUGAGAAAAAUUGAGCAAUAUGACUGGCAUUGGGUGUUAGAAUGUUGGUCUGUUAUUAGUUUAUAAACUGUUGAUUUUGGAGUUCUAAAUUGAUGACUUGUAACUAAGAUUCCUAUGCCCUGGAAUUACUUCUAUUUUCAUGGAUUUUGGGGACUGGACUGGAAUUACAGUUAGCAAAAUGUAUCUUAUAAUUAUGUGCUUCUUUGGAAACCAGAAGCAGUUAUAAGUUUUGUGCAUUCUUGGCUAGUGUAUAAGUUAACAGCACGUAAAGAUUCAAAAUAUGUUUGGAUUAUGAAUGCGAGAAAUUAAGCAAUAUGACCAUACUGUGAAGAGUAAUGCAUUUGAACUAAAAGUAUGGCUCAUGACUGAGUGAAAUUAAGAAACAAGACCAAACUAGUGUCUUUUUUCAUUCCAGACCGAUAACUUCUUUAGUUUGUGGCUGUGUGGAAUCUUUGUUACUGUUUGUCAACACUAAAUCAACCUUUAGCUUGCUGCAUUCAUUUUCUGCCAUGUUCUUGGAGUGGCACUACCCAGAAACAUUGACCAGUACACUUCAGUUUCAAAAACAUUGUCCAGUACACUUUUAUCAUCUAUAAGUGUCACUUCAUUAUAGUCGUUUUUAGUUGUUAAUCUUGGUUUGUUUGUGGGAGCUUAAAAGAGAUCAUGUAGUACCUCAAGAUGAGAUCUUCAAGAUUACUCACACAAGAAAGACGAAGAAGGCCGUUGGUACAGAGCAAUGGAUUGAGCCAAGGGCCAAGAGAACCUUAUAAUGAAUUUCCACAACACUUUGGGGAGUUUCGUGCCACUCGGCCAAGCGGUACGCCGAUGACCCCGAAUUUCAACAACACUUUGAAUGCGAAUUUGAUUAUAGAAUAUAGUUUAUGGUUGUUUAAGUUUAUGAUGUUUAAGUGUUUGAAUGUAGUUUUAAUUUGAAUAAUAAGUACUUUGAGGUUAAAUUUGAUUGUAAAAUGUUGUAGUUUAUGAUUGUAGAAUGUUGUAGUUUAUGAUUGUAGAAUUGGUUGAUGAAUUGGAUGUGUUGGAUGGUUGAGAUUGGAUG